ACAAGCUUGAGAAACGGCUAGUAGGACUAAGGUCUGCAGCAGGCGCGAAACUUACACAAUGCUAGAUUACAAUUAGCGAUGUAGUGAAGAAAAAUAACGAUGUACUUACAUUUAAACAUGUUAGUACAAUUGGAAUGAGACGACUAUAAACCAGUCAGUCGAGUAACAAAUGGAGGGCAAGUCUGGUGCCAGCAGCCGCGGUAAUUCCAGCUCCAUUAGCAUACAUUAAAGUUGUUGCGGUUAAAAAGCUCGUAGUUGAAUUUUAGGUGGGCUCUAUUGGGAUGCAAUCGUUAAGACCCUCGGUGCUCCUUCACUGGACCCGCAGGGUUGGUUGUAUUUUCCCUAUAGGAACCCACUGUUUCGUCACUUAAUCGAGUGCGAAGCGGGCUGGUACAAAGAUCUUCGGAUCUUGUUUCAGCAUGUUUACCUUGAGAAAAUUAGAGUGCUCACAGCAGGCAGUUGGGGUGUUAAAACCUCUUUUUGCUUGAAUAAUGUUGCAUGGAAUAAUAGAAUACGGCCUCGGUUCUAUUCUGUUGGUCUUAUAGAACAACAAACAAGUUGAUUAAAGCGACAAAAAGUUCGUUUGUGAGUGUGGCUUUAGGGGUCUUUCCUGCGAGAGUGUAUAGCGCAUCUUUGGAUAGUGUUGCCUGGGGCCUUAAAAUCUCAGUGACUCGUUCGAUUUUACGCUUUCCUUGAGCGGUUAGUCGCCCCUACAAGUCAUCUAAAGCACUCCUAACUGGACUAGCUUUCUAAUCAACUGAGGCAAUGGUUAAAAGAAAUAGUCGCGGCGGCAUCAGUACUGCAUCGUGAGAG
This 813-nucleotide ribosomal RNA is filed under the name Paracaphyllisa sp. NJAUAcariEriYN304.3. Its description in RNAcentral is "partial 18S ribosomal RNA". It matches the Rfam family "Eukaryotic small subunit ribosomal RNA", at positions 389 to 910 of the family's 1831-position model. The record is from RNAcentral. Lineage: Eukaryota; Metazoa; Arthropoda; Arachnida; Trombidiformes; Eriophyidae.